This 1175-nucleotide unclassified non-coding RNA is filed under the name Hevea brasiliensis (rubber tree). Lineage: Eukaryota; Viridiplantae; Streptophyta; Magnoliopsida; Malpighiales; Euphorbiaceae. The record is from RNAcentral.
GUUGAACACAUAUGAAACCACUUGGAAAGUAAAGUAGGAGUGGGAUCCCUUUUAUAUAUGUGAGAGCAUUCCUCUGUCUUGAUUCUCUUUAACAUACUUGAAACAAUUUCACAUUUGAAGCAAUUAGAAGCAGCAUUGCAAGUCAUUUUCAUGGGUCAACUAACCUUCCUCCUUACCUUGUUAAAGAGAACGAAAUGUCCUAGGGAAGAGGGAGAGAGCCUUUAAUGAAAUUCUGGAGCAGAAUUGAAUCUUCCGUUAUCUGAUGACAUAUGCAUUAUAAUUUUGCAUUACAGUAAGACUUUCUGAAAUAGCUUGUCUGCUUUGCUCUUUCAUUGAAUUUGCCAUAAUUUAGCUAAGUGGUUGACUUCUUGACUGCAGGUCCAACUGCAAGGCAUAGCUUACAUUAUUGUGGUGAAAAUUAAUAGACCUCUGCAAAUUUAGAAGCAGUGUGAAACACUAGCUCAUUUUGAUGCAUAAUGUGUUAGAGAGACCCAAUAAACAUUCAUUUGAACAGCCAAGCACCUGCAGAACUGCUCAAAUAUGAAAAUCACUGGAAUUUUGGUUGAGGCAAAGUUGAAGCAGUACAGAACUCUCUUUUUUUUCCUAUUAAGAAGCGGCAUCCUGUGUAUGAUACAAAGUUACUAUUGCUGUUUGGCUUAAAUCAUCAGCAAAAAUAUGAACUGGGUCUUUGAACAGACUUUUGUUGGUACUAGGUCCCUUCGAUUUGGUGGGGCUUGAUGGACAAAUGAAACUUUACCAACAGAACUUUGAUCCCUGGUAUGACUGGGAAACAGAGGAGUCUAUUCCUGCAAGCUUGUUGUCAUGGCUUUUCCCAACUUCGAAAGUGUACCAGACACUCUAAUGGAAAUCCUAUUCCAACAUCAUUCCUCUUUGAACUGAACGUAUUAGGAACAAGGACAGUUGUGCUGUAUUCAAAAUGGGAUAAUGUGCAGAACUUAACCAUUUGAAAUCUAUAUGGACACAAUCCAUUAUUAUGAGGGUUCGAGUUGGUAUCAGAGGGCUAACAUAUCAUGAGAAACUAAUAUCAGAAAUACAUGUUUGUCAAAUGAAAUUACAUAAUGUGAAGCACAAACAUAUACAGCAAAUGCAAGCUCAUUAUUCCAAUAUGGAUAUAGCCUUUAUUAUUGGGACUGAAAUGGAAAUUUUACAAGGCA